UAUUGGUCCUCCCGCAAUGAUAGAUUGUGAACCUGGUCAGGCCCGGAAGGGAGCAGCCACAGCAGUCAAAUCAUGUGCCGGGAUGUGGCUGGUAGGG
This 97-nucleotide signal recognition particle RNA is filed under the name Marinobacterium sp. LSUCC0821. Its description in RNAcentral is "Bacterial small signal recognition particle RNA". It matches the Rfam family "Bacterial small signal recognition particle RNA". From Rfam's summary of the family: The signal recognition particle (SRP) is a universally conserved ribonucleoprotein involved in the co-translational targeting of proteins to membranes. Archaeal SRP consists of a 7S RNA and homologues of the eukaryotic SRP19 and SRP54 proteins. Lineage: Bacteria; Pseudomonadati; Pseudomonadota; Gammaproteobacteria; Oceanospirillales; Oceanospirillaceae. The record is from Rfam by way of RNAcentral.